This 830-nucleotide ribosomal RNA is filed under the name Bacillus sp. Biotech1. RNAcentral describes it as "bacterial SSU rRNA". It matches the Rfam family "Bacterial small subunit ribosomal RNA", at positions 618 to 1533 of the family's 1533-position model. Lineage: Bacteria; Bacillati; Bacillota; Bacilli; Caryophanales; Bacillaceae. The record is from RNAcentral.
GAGGGUCAUUGGAAACUGGAGGACUGAGUGCAGAAGGAGGAAAAGGUGGAAUUCCAUGUGGUAGCGGUGAAAUGGGUAGAGGAUAAUGGAGGAACAACCAGUGGGGGAAGGGGGACUUUCUGGUCUGUAAACUGACACUGGAGGCGGGGAAAAGCGUGGGGAAGGCAAAACAAGGAUUAGAUUACCCUGGUAGUUCCACGCCCGUAAAACGAUGAGUGCUAAAGUGUUUAGAAGGGUUUCCGCCCUUUUAGUGGUGAAGUUAACGCAUUAAGGCACUCCGCCCUGGGGAGUACGGCCGCAAGGGCUGAAAACUCAAAGGAAUUGACGGGGGCCCGCACAAGCGGUGGAGCAUGUGGUUUAAUUCGAAGCAACGCGAAGAACCUUACCAGGUCUUGACAUCCUCUGACAACCCUAGAGAUAGGGCUUCUCCUUCGGGAGCAGAGUGACAGGUGGUGCAUGGUUGUCGUCAGCUCGUGUCGUGAGAUGUUGGGUUAAGUCCCGCAACGAGCGCAACCCUUGAUCUUAGUUGCCAUCAUUUAGUUGGGCACUCUAAGGUGACUGCCGGUGACAAACCGGAGGAAGGUGGGGAUGACGUCAAAUCAUCAUGCCCCUUAUGACCUGGGCUACACACGUGCUACAAUGGACGGUACAAAGAGCUGCAAGACCGCGAGGUGGAGCUAAUCUCAUAAAACCGUUCUCAGUUCGGAUUGUAGGCUGCAACUCGCCUACAUGAAGCUGGAAUCGCUAGUAAUCGCGGAUCAGCAUGCCGCGGUGAAUACGUUCCCAGACCUUGUACCAAGGUCCCCCUUUAUUCUUCUUCCCCCUCUUCG